CCUACGGGCGGCAGCAGUGAGGAAUAUUGGUCAAUGGGCGAGAGCCUGAACCAGCCAAGUCGCGUGAAGGAUGAAGUAUUUCGGUAUGUAAACUUCUAUCAGCAGGGAAGAAAAUGACGGUACCUGACUAAGAAGCCCCGGCUAACUACGUGCCAGCAGCCGCGGUAAUACGUAGGGGGCAAGCGUUAUCCGGAUUUACUGGGUGUAAAGGGAGCGUAGACGGUAUGGCAAGUCUGAUGUGAAAACCCGGGGCUCAACCCCGGGACUGCAUUGGAAACUGCCGAACUAGAGUGUCGGAGAGGCAAGUGGAAUUCCUAGUGUAGCGGUGAAAUGCGUAGAUAUUAGGAGGAACACCAGUGGCGAAGGCGGCUUGCUGGACGAUGACUGACGUUGAGGCUCGAAAGCGUGGGGAGCAAACAGGAUUAGAUACCCUAGUAGUC
This 440-nucleotide ribosomal RNA is filed under the name uncultured bacterium. RNAcentral's name for it is "partial 16S ribosomal RNA". It matches the Rfam family "Bacterial small subunit ribosomal RNA", at positions 338 to 795 of the family's 1533-position model. The record is from RNAcentral.